CAACCGUUCACUAACUUGAGUUAGUCGGCUCACGAGAAAGACUGCAGAUUCAGACGAAUCGAUGGAAUCACUCCAUUGACUCUCGUAAGAAGAAUGACGAAAAACACACGAGGGACUCGGAAGAUUCAGUUGAAUCGGAUCGCUGACUCCCGAAAAACGCAGCAGGUUCGGGUGAUUCAAUUGAACCAAGCCACUGACUUCAGCGAACGGCUUUGUCGGAAACGCGGCGGACGGUGGAUUCAAGUUAGCGAACUCAACUCGAUUAGCCGUCUUGGACCACAAGAGAUGCGGCCUUCUCUCCAGGCGCUGGCCAAAGAACAGGAACCCUCCAGCAUUGUGCGCGACCACUCAGCCGGCCCCCGUCGGACAAACAGGAAGUGACGGCGGCGCGGAGGAAAAACAGGCUAAAAUUAGGAGCUCCGGGAGAUGCGGAGAGCCCGGCGCAAGGGGGACAACAACAAGGCCGCUCCGGAAAUACCUUCACGCCGAAGCCAGGUUGACCUCGGUGACAUGACGUUUAGCGUCAAGCCAUAAGCGGCCCAAAACCUAUUUUGAAAUCACGCGUGAUGUCAGAAAAUCCCGGCAGACUUCAGCCGUCAGCCGAGAGUAAAGAGGACGACAUCGUCUUCUUUUGCGGCCUCCACCUGAAGAGACACAUGGGGGAAAAGAUAAAGGAAUGAUGAUCAAUCGAUCCAUCGCCACCAAGUCUCUCAGCCAGUUGUCAGCUCACGAUGAGUCAGGAUUAACUAGAACGCCACCUGGUGACCUCCAAUGCGGAAACUUGAAUGGCAACCGGAGUGAAGUAAAGGCUGGGUACGCUCACCUUGCGGGGGGGCUGCCAUCCAUCACCUGCCUGCAUGGGAGCCCCUGCGACACCUCACUCAGCCCCUCCUCGCUCACUUGCCUUCCAAAACCGCCCCUCACGUCACCCCACCAAAAAAAAAAAAAAAAAAAAUCCAACAACAACAACAACAACUGAAGCAAGAUACAGCACAACAAGCUCCAGUCGCGCUUGUCUUCUCGCUCAACAAACAUGAAAAAAUUGGUGAAAAAAAGUUUUUUAUGACAUCCAGAGGUCAAAGUUUUGGUCCAGAAGUCGGCCGGGCUGGGAGAAGAACAAGCAUGAAAAGUGACUCAACUGUCAAGAAGCUGAAUGGCUCAAGUCAAGCGAAAAGGAUUUCUCCGGGGGGACGCUUCCCAUACACAUUUUUACUGUUAACAAAAUAAGAGCUAUCACGACAGCGCUCUUGCUCGGCGUGCCUUCACAACAAUGCAUCAAUCAUAAAGUCCACAGAGAAUGAUUAGACUAGAUUACCCC
This is a long non-coding RNA of Hippocampus zosterae (dwarf seahorse), 1318 nucleotides long. RefSeq lists it as uncharacterized. The record is from RefSeq and is a predicted model, not a curated record. NCBI's taxonomy places the organism in Eukaryota, Metazoa, Chordata, Actinopteri, Syngnathiformes, Syngnathidae. The transcript is spliced from 4 exons.